Molecule: small nucleolar RNA, 135 nt
Organism: Octodon degus (degu)
Lineage: Eukaryota; Metazoa; Chordata; Mammalia; Rodentia; Octodontidae
Source: Ensembl
UCUAGCCCUUAUCAAAGCUGCAGCUGCUUCUGUGUACUUGCUGCAGUCAAAAAGGAGCCCAGAGUAACAGUUUCCCUUGAUGGUCUCUGUUCUGUUUGCUGUAACUGAUCUGCAACAUUUUGGGGAAAGGCAGCU